Meleagris gallopavo (turkey) is the source of this 385-nucleotide non-coding RNA. The record is from RefSeq and is a predicted model, not a curated record. NCBI's taxonomy places the organism in Eukaryota, Metazoa, Chordata, Aves, Galliformes, Phasianidae.
CAUAAAUCUUCUCGUAUUAGGAAGGAAACAUGCCAUUGGAAGAUUUACUGGCAUUCUAUGGAUAUGAACCCACGAUUCCAGUUAUGGCAGGUUCCAGUGUGAAUAGCUCUCCAAGUGAACUUGCAGAUGAACUUCCAGAUAUGACUUUAGAUAAAGAGGAAAUAGCUAAAGACCUCUUGUCGGGUGAUGAUGGAGAAACACAGUCCUCUGCUGAUGACUUGACACCAUCAGUUACUUCACAUGAGGCUACAGACUUCUUUCCUCGGCCAUUAAGAUCAAACACUACUUGUGAUGGAGAUAAAGAAUCAGAUGGUGAAGAUGUGGAGGUAGACAGUGGUAAUACAUCCGAAGAUUUGAGAAAGGUAAUAAUUAUUUUAUAAAACAA